Nycticebus coucang (slow loris) is the source of this 1021-nucleotide long non-coding RNA. RefSeq lists it as uncharacterized. Lineage: Eukaryota; Metazoa; Chordata; Mammalia; Primates; Lorisidae. The transcript has 3 exons. The record is from RefSeq and is a predicted model, not a curated record.
CUCAGGGAUGGAUUCACUCAGGUCUGUGAUGCCCAGCAGGGGACCCUGGGGAGAGCACUGGGCUCCCCACCUCUUCUCUGCUGCCCUCCUCAGACAGAGGGACCCCUUCACUUCCUGGCACCUCCUCCACAGGACAGCUGUUCACCUUGGCUAAGCCCUGACUUCAGUGUCGCAGCCUCCUCGGCAGUUUACUCCGUGGCCAUUUCUUCCCACUGUGGAUUUGUUGUGGGGUCAGCUCACCAGAACCACUAAGGACAGCGACAGACCAGCCAAGACCUGUUAGUUGGAAAGGCCUCGGAUGCUUUCUCUGCUCUGUCUCUGCCCACGUUGCACCAUGACAGGGUGGUUGCCUUUUUAUGUCAGUUGUGAGACUUUCUAUUAGAGAAGAAUUUCCUGAGAAGCUGCAGAACCUAUCAUUUCAUCCUGUGUGUUCAAGUGUCUAGAGCUGUAUAACCUCUGAGCUCUCAGUAAUACCCUCGGUCAAUUUCUGUUUGUCUGACGAGCAGCAACCGCAGCAGCACACGGAGCUUGUAGACGCUGGUGAGUCUGUGGCUGCCUUCCGGGCGCGGUCAGCCCUCCACGUCCAGGUCUCCACAUCCAGGGAUCUAAUCAGCCACAGUGAGAAAGUGUUUGACAAAACAAUGAAGACGCACAGCAGUGCACAGUAGUACACGUGGAAUACAGCAGGACAGCGGUGAGCACAGAGUCUACGCGGGGUGAGGUAACACAGUUACAGCACACUGGAUUCCGGGCUCUCUGGACCAGUUCUUCACACAUCACCCACCAUUCCCGCAACUACCAGCCUCAGGCACACAGAGGCUUCAGUUCAGAUGCGUCCCUUCCCUAUUUUUCUUUGUAUGGUCUCAAUUAGGGCCAUCCUGAGAUCUCAGGCGUCUGGUCCUGUGAUCCAGGAUGUUAUCAUAUCUGCACCCAGGCUCGGUUACAAGCAGGCUCAUGACUUGGUCCCCAUCCGGGUCACUCACUGAACAUCUCUGUGGUGUAGCCAGCAGCUGUACUGAGU